This 494-nucleotide ribosomal RNA is filed under the name uncultured bacterium. RNAcentral describes it as "partial 16S ribosomal RNA". It matches the Rfam family "Bacterial small subunit ribosomal RNA", at positions 30 to 507 of the family's 1533-position model. The record is from RNAcentral.
AUUGAACGCUGGCGGCAUGCUUUACACAUGCAAGUCGAACGGCAGCGGGGAGGAGCUUGCUUCUCUGCCGGCGAGUGGCGAACGGGUGAGUAAUACAUCGGAACGUGUCGAGAAGAGGGGGAUAACCACCCGAAAGGGUGGCUAAUACCGCAUAAAUUCUGAGGAAGAAAGCUGGGGACCUGGGAAUAGGCCUAGCGCUUUUUGAGCGGCCGAUGUCGGAUUAGCUAGUUGGUGAGGUAAAGGCUCACCAAGGCGAAGAUCUGUAGCGGGUCUGAGAGGAUGAUCCGCCACCCUGGGACUGAGACACGGCCCAGACUCCUACGGGAGGCAGCAGUGGGGAAUUUUGGACAAUGGGGGCAACCCUGAUCCAGCCAUGCCGCGUGUAUGAAGAAGGCCUUAGGGUUGUAAAGUACUUUUGUUAGGGAAGAAAAGUCAGCUGUGAAUAAUGGCUGAUACUGACGGUACCUAAAGAAUAAGCACCGGCUAACUACGUG